RNAcentral lists this long non-coding RNA (1405 nucleotides) under Homo sapiens (human). RNAcentral describes it as "PREDICTED lncRNA (TCONS_00136497)". Lineage: Eukaryota; Metazoa; Chordata; Mammalia; Primates; Hominidae. The record is from RNAcentral.
CGGAUCUCGCGAUGUUUCAGGGUGAGCCGGACGCAGGCGUGCCUGCGCAGUGCGCGGAGGAGUGCUGUUCGUGUGUUCGAGUCCCUGGGUUGCUUCCUGGGGUCUGUGGUGCUGGGUGUGCUAUCUGCGUGUGAUUCUCUAGCGAGAGAUUGUGGGCGAGUGACCGAGUGGGCAAGGGGCCGUCACUGUGUGUGCGUGAUUUUGACAGUGUGUGGUGGUAGCUUCUGACUCCGCGUGGGUCGUUGAAUGUAUGACUGGGACCGUUUAGCGGUGGAUACACAACUGUGUGCGGCUGUGGAAGAUUGCCUCAUCCGUUACGUUCCCAUUUCCGUGGAACAACAGUUUUACCAGAAGGUUUCGAAGGAACCUUAAAGUUUGGAAGCGUAAGAGUUUAUCUGGCGGCUUUGGUGUCAUCAAAUGUGAGAAGCCCUGGACUUUACACAUCCCGAGCCAGUGUGAUCCAGUAUGAUUGGGAGUCCGAGUGCCAGAUGCCGGUCAGGACCUGUUAUGCUGGGUCUCAGAAUGCGGAAACUCUCCCUGUCCGAGGUGGAACAGUUUGUCCUUGAGUGAGGACUGGAGUCCUGAGUGACUCUUUUGAUUUGAUCCUGUUUCCCUCAAACCUGAGAUGGGAGCCUCACUGUAUUGCCCAGGCUGGUCUUGAACUCCGGAGCUCAAGUGAUCGUCUUGCUUCAGCCUUGCAAAAUGAUGGUGAAGCUGCAUCAUUGUCUGGGGUAAAUACCUGAGGUUCGUUGUCUCACGCCAAGGGAAUCAAGGACGUGGACACACAAGAAAUGGAGUCCCUGUCUGACCGGGCCAUGUUGUAUGUUCCUUGCUGUACACGUGGUUGACAAAGAAAAGGGAAGAUGGAGCUGCGAUGUUGGACAUGCCUGGCCCCCAGGACAUACAGCCCUGCCGAGCAAAUAAUGAACGUAACUCACAAACUUCCUGCUUAUCAUCAAACGCACGCAUCCACUUAUCAUCAAACACCUCGGGUGACAGAAGAAUGCAGGUCAGCUCCCUGCUGCCUUGGCAUUAUCAAUCAGCCCAGGAACCAUCCUAUAAAAUCUCCAGCAAGCCUUUGUUUCCUUGCAGUCAGCUCCUCUUCCACUGAUUCUGCCUGUUGCUCCCUGAUAACAUACUUUGAUACUGUCUUUAAUAAAUCUGCCUUUCUUCACCCACAGCUGUCUUGGUAAGUUCUUUUACCUCUGUGCCACCAGCCCAAACAGUUGCUGCUCACCUGAAACAAAGAAUAAAUGUGGUUUUUAAGCAAAUCAAAGUUUACUUAGUGACUCUUACCAAGCUUUGUAGAAGGUUGUGCCAAAAGGAGAAGCUUAAGAGAUAACGGCUAAAAAUAAAAAAUGUUACCACCGCCCAAGGGGUUCUUCCUGCCCACUGCAUAAAGAAA